This 22-nucleotide unclassified non-coding RNA is filed under the name Mus musculus (house mouse). Its description in RNAcentral is "oocyte_clustered_small_RNA11523". Lineage: Eukaryota; Metazoa; Chordata; Mammalia; Rodentia; Muridae. The record is from RNAcentral.
GAGCAUGGUUAUGUCAAGCACC